Molecule: ribosomal RNA, 368 nt
Filed under: uncultured organism
Description: bacterial SSU rRNA
Rfam family: Bacterial small subunit ribosomal RNA
Source: RNAcentral
CGAAGGAUGCAAGCGUUAUCCGGAUUCAUUGGGUUUAAAGGGAGCGUAGGCGGACUUGUAAGUCAGUGGUGAAAUCUUUGGGCUUAACCCAGAAACUGCCAUUGAUACUGCAGGUCUAGAGUACAGUUGCCGUUGGCGGAAUAUGACAUGUAGUGGUGAAAUACUUAGAUAUGUCAUAGAACACCGAUUGCGAAGGCAGCUAACGAAGCUGUAACUGACGCUGAGGCUCGAAAGUGCGGGGAUCAAACAGGAUUAGAUACCCUGGUAGUCCGCACUGUAAACGAUGAUCACUCGCUGCUUGAGGGUAACUUUGAGUGGCCAAGCGAAAGCGAUAAGUGAUCCACCUGGGGAGUACGCCGGCAACGGUG